Molecule: ribosomal RNA, 493 nt
Filed under: uncultured bacterium
Lineage: Bacteria
Description: partial 16S ribosomal RNA
Rfam family: Bacterial small subunit ribosomal RNA
Source: RNAcentral
AUUGAACGCUGGCGGCAUGCUUUACACAUGCAAGUCGAACGGUAACAGGUUAAGCUGACGAGUGGCGAACGGGUGAGUAAUGCAUCGGAACGUGCCCGAUCGUGGGGGAUAACGCAGCGAAAGCUGCGCUAAUACCGCAUACGAUCUGAGGAUGAAAGCGGGGGACCGUAAGGCCUCGCGCGAUCGGAGCGGCCGAUGUCAGAUUAGGUAGUUGGUGGGGUGAAGGCUCACCAAGCCAACGAUCUGUAGCUGGUCUAAGAGGACGACCAGCCACACUGGGACUGAGACACGGCCCAGACUCCUACGGGAGGCAGCAGUGGGGAAUUUUGGACAAUGGGCGAAAGCCUGAUCCAGCAAUGCCGCGUGCAGGAAGAAGGCCUUCGGGUUGUAAACUGCUUUUGUACGGAGCGAAAAGGUCUCCUCUAAUACAGGGGGCUCAUGACGGUACCGUAAGAAUAAGCACCGGCUAACUACGUGCCAGCCGCCGCCGUAA